This is a non-coding RNA of Acanthosepion pharaonis, 115 nucleotides long. The record is from the annotation of a GenBank genome assembly. Lineage: Eukaryota; Metazoa; Mollusca; Cephalopoda; Sepiida; Sepiidae.
UUACGGCUACAUCACGUUGAAAUACCGGUUCCCUUACGAUACACCGAAGUUAAGCAACGUCGAACCUGGUCAAUAUCUAGAUGAGUGAACGCCUGGGAAUACUAGAUACUGUAAG